UGAGUGCCCAGCAGUGUGGCCUGAAUCUCCGUGGGGUUUAGGGAGACGAAAGGACCCCAGAUCGACGUCCCCUCGUUCCCACUUUGGGGAUCGGCGCUCUGGCUGUUUCGUGAAGGAGAGAGAGGAACUCAGAGUGGUUUUCCAGAUGGGAAUCACAUUGCUCUCUGUCCCUGAGAUCUUGCUGGAGACAGGGCUACUCAGUCCCUCUUUGCCAGGUAAUCUGUUCCAGAAGAAACAUGUGUCGUUCUGACUGAGCCCCUGCCUGUCUGUCACCUUAAGAGCCAGUCAAUUCAUAUGGUCCCCAUAUCAAAGUCUCCUGUGCCCAGAGAGAGGAUUUCAUUUCAACCAUCACCAUCACCACCAUCAUCAUCAUCAUCACCAAGAGGUGUUGUUGAAUUGAUAUUGGAAAAGCAGUUUCUAUUGAGCCCCCAAAUGAAGAGUGAGUGCAGAUGAAGAGGAGGCAGGACUCACAAGCCCUUGACCUUCAUUCCAGAUCUGUUAGCACCUACAGGACCCUGCACCAGGAUUUCAUCUGUACUAUCAGCUUCUUCAAAGAGAGAGAGGUUGUUGA
Molecule: long non-coding RNA, 571 nt
Filed under: Pan troglodytes (chimpanzee)
Lineage: Eukaryota; Metazoa; Chordata; Mammalia; Primates; Hominidae
Description: lincRNA
Source: RNAcentral